UCAGAUUGAACGCUGGCGGCAGGCCUAACACAUGCMAGUCGAACGGAAACAUGUCUAGCUUGCUAGAUGAUGUCGAGUGGCGGACGGGUGAGUAAUGCUUGGGAACUUGCCUUUGCGAGGGGGAUAACAGUUGGAAACGACUGCUAAUACCGCAUAAUGUCUUCGGACCAAACGGGGCUUAGGCUCCGGCGCAAAGAGAGGCCCAAGUGAGAUUAGCUAGUUGGUGAGGUAAAGGCUCACCAAGGCAACGAUCUCUAGCUGUUCUGAGAGGAAGAUCAGCCACACUGGGACUGAGACACGGCCCAGACUCCUACGGGAGGCAGCMGUGGGGAAUAUUGCMCMAUGGGGGAAACCCUGAUGCAGCCAUGCCGCGUGUGUGAAGAAGGCCUUCSGGUUGUWAAGCACUUUCAGUUGUGAGGAAAAGUUAGUAGUUAAUACCUGCUAGCCGUG
RNAcentral lists this ribosomal RNA (450 nucleotides) under uncultured gamma proteobacterium CHAB-IV-40. RNAcentral's name for it is "bacterial SSU rRNA". It matches the Rfam family "Bacterial small subunit ribosomal RNA", at positions 24 to 476 of the family's 1533-position model. The record is from RNAcentral. Lineage: Bacteria; Pseudomonadati; Pseudomonadota; Gammaproteobacteria.